This 439-nucleotide ribosomal RNA is filed under the name uncultured bacterium. RNAcentral's name for it is "bacterial SSU rRNA". It matches the Rfam family "Bacterial small subunit ribosomal RNA", at positions 28 to 507 of the family's 1533-position model. The record is from RNAcentral.
GAUGAACGCUAGCGGCAUGCUUAACACAUGCAAGUCGCACGGGGUGGUUUCGGCCAUUCAGUGGCGGACGGGUGAGUAACGCGUAGGUAUCUAUCCUUGGGUGGGGGAUAACCGUGGGAAACUACGGCUAAUACCGCAUGAUGUCUGAGGACCAAAGGCGCGAGUCGCCUGGGGAGGAGCCUGCGUUCGAUUAGCUAGUUGGUGGGGUAAAGGCCUACCAAGGCGAUGAUCGAUAGCUGGUCUGAGAGGAUGAUCAGCCACACUGGGACUGAGACACGGCCCAGACUCCUACGGGAGGCAGCAGUGGGGAAUAUUGGACAAUGGGCGCAAGCCUGAUCCAGCAAUGCCGCGUGAGUGAAGAAGGUCUUCGGAUUGUAAAGCUCUUUCGGCGGGGACGAUGAUGACGGUACCCGCAGAAGAAGCACCGGCUAACUACGUG